CCAAUAGCGUAUAUUAAAGUUGUUGCAGUUAAAAAGCUCGUAGUUGAAUUUCGAGACCGGUUUAUUGGUCGUGCUUUUGUACGUACUGGUAUUAUUGGUUUCUCCUUUCUGACGAAUCUUAAUGCCAUUAAUUUGGUGUUUUGGGGAAUCAGGACUGUUACUUUGAAAAAAUUAGAGUGUUUAAAGCAGGCUCACGCUUGAAUACAUUAGCAUGGAAUAACGGAAUAGGACGUUUGAUUCUAUUUUGUCGGUUUCUAGGAUCGACGUAAUGAUUAAUAGGGAUAGUUGGGGGCAUUAGUAUUCAAUUGUCAGAGGUGAAAUUCUUGGAUUUAUUGAAGACUAACUACUGCGAAAGCAUUUGCCAAGGAUGUUUUCAUUAAUCAAGAACGAAAGUUAGGGGAUCGAAGACGAUCAGAUACCGUCGUAGUCUUAACCAUAAACUAUGCCGACUAGGGAUCGGAUGAUGUUAAUUUUUUAAUGACUCAUUCGGCGCCUUACG
RNAcentral lists this ribosomal RNA (499 nucleotides) under uncultured Glomeromycotina. RNAcentral's name for it is "partial small subunit ribosomal RNA". It matches the Rfam family "Eukaryotic small subunit ribosomal RNA", at positions 591 to 1092 of the family's 1831-position model. Lineage: Eukaryota; Fungi; Glomeromycota. The record is from RNAcentral.